RNAcentral lists this ribosomal RNA (209 nucleotides) under uncultured delta proteobacterium. Its description in RNAcentral is "partial 16S ribosomal RNA". It matches the Rfam family "Bacterial small subunit ribosomal RNA", at positions 568 to 775 of the family's 1533-position model. Lineage: Bacteria; Deltaproteobacteria. The record is from RNAcentral.
CGCGUAGGCGGUUUGCUCAGUCAGAUGUGAAAGCCCUCGGCUUAACCGGGGACGUGCAUUUGAAACUGGCAGACUUGAGUAUUGGAGGGGGUGGUGGAAGUUCCCGGUGUAGAGGUGAAAUUCGUAGAUAUCGGGAGGAAUACCGGUGGCGAAGGCGACCACCUGGCCAAAUACUGACGCUGAGGUGCGAAAGCGUGGGGAGCAAACAG